Molecule: transfer RNA, 130 nt
Filed under: Actinomycetota bacterium
Lineage: Bacteria; Bacillati; Actinomycetota
Description: tRNA-OTHER
Rfam family: tRNA (bases 67-127)
Source: RNAcentral
GGCUACCUAUAUCUCCAUUCCGGUUCUUCGAGUAUCGAGCAUUUUGAGUGCAUCUUCGCAAGUCACGACUCGAUCCCCCGGCCGCCCUUUCAAGGCGGGAGCACGGGUUCGAAUCCCGUUGGGGCCACCA